RNAcentral lists this long non-coding RNA (5503 nucleotides) under Trifolium pratense (red clover). Its description in RNAcentral is "long non-coding RNA (TPRA_LNC011602)". The record is from RNAcentral. Lineage: Eukaryota; Viridiplantae; Streptophyta; Magnoliopsida; Fabales; Fabaceae.
CAUGUGAGUGCUUAAGUGGAUUCACUCCAAAAUCGCCUCAAAAUUGGAAAGUGAAGGACCGGAGUGAAGGAUGCGUGCGGAGUGAAAAUUGGAGCUGUAGAGAGAAAAAUAAAGAUGGGUUCAUCAAAUUUCAAAAUAUGAAGGUCCCAAACACUAAGAUAUCUUGGAUAAAUAGAAGUAUGACACUUGAGAAAUGUAAGACCAAAUGUUGGGAGAAUUGUUCCUGUACAGCUUAUGCUAACUCAAACAUCAUUGAGGAUGGAAGUGGUUGCAUCCUCUGGUUUAGUGAUCUCUUGGACUUGAGACAAUUACCCGAUUCGGGGCAAGAUCUUUAUGUUAGAUCCCAUACCUCGGAAAUAGGUACGAGAUUUUAUUUUAAACUGAAUGGUGUUUCGUAAUAUUUUUUGCAAUUAAUGUGUUUUUCAAAGUUUAAUUAUUGAUAUUGUAUUAUUUUGUUUAAAGCAAACAGAGAUGGUUCAAGGAAAAUGGUAGCCGUGGUCACAAGUACCACUUCAUUAAUUAUUGUGAUGCUUUUGCUAUUUACCAUACUUUUUUGUUGGAGGAGAAAAGUUAAAUCUAAAUCUAGAGGUAACUUUUGUGAUUAUUAUUCUUUUGACGUUGGGAUGAGUUAGGGUCGAGUUAUAAUUUUUAUGUAUUCAAUUCUAUCAAAUUCCUUUGUUUUUGUUGUAAAUCAUACAAAUUCAAACGGUCAAAUCCAAAACAUUAAUACAAUAUAAAGGUUCCCUCUCUUAUAAUUAAUUAAGAAAGGAGAAAACUUAGGUCAAGUACCAUACAUCCUUUUAUUCAUCGGUACUAGAAAUGAUGAGAUUAACUUCAAAAUUUACCUUUAAUAAUCUAUCCAAAACAACCAAGAUAUCUUAACUAAGUCUUUAUCCAAAACAUUAAUACAAUAUAAAGGUUCCCUCUCUUAUAAUUAAUUAAGAAAGGAGAAAACUUAGGUCAAGUACCAUACAUCCUUUUGGUCUUGUUCUCCACUUAAAAUUUGACACAUCAACAAUUUUUUCCAUGUCAGCUUUUAACAAAUUAACACUAAAAAUGGAAACAUAGGAUGUAUGGUAAAAAAUUGUUGAUAUGUCAAAUUUUAAGUGGAGAAUAUGACCAAAAGGAUGUAUGGUACUUGACCUAAGUUUUCUCCAUUAAGAAAUCACACCAAUCUUUGCCUGAAGUAUGAGUUCAUAAAUCACAAUACUUGCAAUUUAGUAUAAACAACUUGUUGGGAAGCUUGGCGAGCUUAAAGAGCAUUGCCAAGAACUAAGGACUUAUGUUGUACACGACCAAGAAAUUAAAAAAAAAAUGACAUCUCUUAAAUAUCUUAUUAGGUCAUAAUAGCCAAUAUGAGACUAAUCAAUCAUAAAUUCAAGUAAUAGUUGUCUUCAAUAUAGAAAGGCAACUUUCUAGCAUGAGAAGGCUUGUAUUAUGUAGGUGUGUAUAGUUAUUCUAAUCUUGUUAAUUUUAUAGAGGAAAUAGGAAUCAUGAAGACAACAAUAAAGAAAAGCGAAGGUGAACAAGAAGACAUGGAGCUACCUUCCUUUGACUUUGGUAGAAUAGCAUUUGCCACUAACGACUUCUCAAAAAAUAACAAGCUUGGCGAAGGUGGUUUUGGUCCAGUGUAUAGGGUGAGUAUAAGUACAUGCAUCCUGUUAUUUAAUGGUUAAAACAAAGGACAAAGUCUGAUUUUUUUUUCUUCAUUGUUAAAUUACUUUACAAAUGUGAUUUUUUAAGGGAACAUUACCAGAUGGACAAGAUAUCGCAGUUAAAAGGCUUUCACAUAGCUCCAAACAAGGAACAAAAGAAUUUAAGAAUGAGGUUAUAUUUUGUUCCAAACUCCAACAUCGAAACCUAGUUAAGGUCCUUGGCUUUUGCAUUGAAGAAGAAGAGAAACUACUCAUCUAUGAAUAUAUGCCCAACAAAAGCUUAGACUUCUUUCUUUUUGGUUAGUGUCUAUGCAAAAACUUGUUAUGGUAUUGCUUGUUCAAUAUUUGAUGAUUACUGCAUAUAACAAAAGUAUAUUAAUUGUACAGAUUCUUCUCGAAGUAAAUUUUUAGACUGGUCUAAGCGGUUUGACAUUAUCGGUGGUAUUGCUAGAGGAAUUCUUUACCUUCACCAGGACUCUAGACUAAGGGUCAUACAUAGAGAUUUAAAAGCAGGUAAUAUUUUAUUAGACAAUGAUAUGAGUCCCAAAAUUGCUGAUUUUGGCCUGGCUCGAAUGUGCGGAGGUGACCAGAUUCAAGGAAACACAGAUAUAGUUGUUGGUACAUAGUAAGUAUAUACCCAAUGCUUAAGUGUUUCUAAAAUUAUAUUGUACGUGUACAUGACUAUAUCCUCAAAUUAAUACAUUUGUUAUUUUUUCAGUGGUUAUAUGGCACCCGAGUAUGCAAUUGAUGGGAUAUUCUCCAUCAAAUCAGAUGUAUAUAGCUUUGGAAUUUUAUUAUUAGAGAUUAUAAGCGGAAAGAAAAAUAAAGGACUUUCCUAUUCAAAUCACAACUACAAUCUUGUUUCACAUGUAAGUAACGAAAAUAACUUCAAUUAUCAAACACUAAAACACCUGUUAUAAUUAUUAUGAUUUGUUGUAGGCAUGGAGAUUGUGGAAAGAGUGCAUCCCAAUGGAAUUCAUGGAUACUUGUUUGGAGGAGGGUUCAUAUAUCUCAUCUGAAGUCUUGAGAUGCAUUCAUAUUGGUCUUUUAUGUGUGCAACACCAUCCUAAUGAUAGACCAACUAUGACAUCUGUGCUUGUAAUGCUAACUAGCGAAAAUACUUUACCACACCCGAAAGAGCCUAUCUUCCUAAUUGAAAAGGUUUCAGAUGGGAAAGAAUCUACUUCUGGACAUGAAAUGUACAAUUUAACAAAUGAAGAAUCUAGGUCAAUAUUGGAACCUAGAUAGGGAAGAUGUUUUAGUUUUUGCGAUGGGUGUUGGUCAUUAAGAGUUGGGAUGUGUUCUUUUGCUAAAUAUAUGAAUAUUUUAUGUUAUGCUUUAAGUUUUGUAUACUUAUAUAAUAAUAACUUCCGCCAAAUUAAGUUUUUAAAGUAUUUGGUAAAUUUUAAGUUAAACCACAAAGUAAAAUCAUUCAGAAAAAACAUAACAUCAACUAAAUGUAGGAAUGAAAGUUUCGUACUUGUAGAGAUAAAUAUAGCUGCUUCUCAAUAAACCUUUGACCUUAUCAAAUUUGGAUUGACGCCUCACGACCUGCAAAAAUAAAUUACAAAAUCAUAUGACAAAAGUAAUACCAGGUACAGAUCAAAGACAGAAAUUGGCUUAUAUGAUAAAGCGGAACCAGAUUGUUAGACGUUGAAGCGUGAAUGUCACUCUACCUUUGGAGAAUUAUAAUAACCUAUGUGGAGUUAUGCUGGGAAACGGUUUACUUGAUGUAUCAUAUAUCAAGCUCUAUAUAUGUGGAGGCAUAAGGCUAUGGAUUGUCUAAGACUUGAAAAUGGCAGGGAGGGAAUGUACACAUGUUGCCUUAUGGAUUGUUAAGACUUGUAAAUAUGUUCUUAAGGUGGUUGCUGCAAAAGGAGUGGAAGUAAGCUUCAGGAAAUCUUUGAAAUAUUGAUUUGUAUUCUUUUAUGACUCUUGAAUGGGGGCACUUUGUUAUGUAACUUUUACUAAGGCUUUGUGAUAUCUGCUACAUGAACUGGUGUAAUGUAUGUAUUUUCAUUUUCAACCUGCUGGGAUCAUAUCUUAUGCCUCUUGGUAGUGGUUUAAUAAGUUUCAAAUACAUAUCAAUUAAGCAGCUCAUACUAGAUACCAGAAAUAGGAAUUUAAGGGUUUAAUACGUAUCAUACUAGUAUCAUCAUGUAUCCUAAAAACAAGCUUAUAAGUUAUAACAAAACAUGUCCAGCUGUUGUCAGACCAGGGACCAAAAUUACAGUAAAUUCUCACAGUACAAAAAAGUUCUUGUGCACCAGUGCACCGCCAAGGAACAAAUAAGAGCAACAUGCAUGUAAGUUUAAAAAUAGUAACAAGGAAAAAACAACACAAACAUACACAAGGAUAAUAAGAAUAGAAUAAAAAAAUGCUAGAAAGAUGAUAAUUUGUGUGAUUAUGACAGAGAGGAGAAGAAAAUUAUACCUAAUACUUAAAUCAUUUCAACAGGAGCAUAUAAUAAAAAGGCGGCAUCAGCAAGGCAAUGAUAGUCCGCGAAAGAAAUUUGACGUCGGUCGACGGCUACAAGUUGACGGCACAUGAUUUCUGGUUGUGUGUCUUGUGUUCCUUUUACUAGUUGGCCCCGUGGCAUCAUCUACACAGUUUGAUUUAUCAGGAGGUCUAAAUAGAAUGAAUGGAAUCUAUCCCUGCUGUCUGAACAUCAGAGAACCAGCAUCUGAAACCAACAACAUCACGACGACUGUUUCAAUUGAAAGUAAACCAGCCACCAAAAUGCUCAAAUAAAUGGACAAACUGAUUAGUAUAUAAUCUUAUAGGCUAAAUGCGACGUUGCAUUGCAUCCACUAUUAUAUCUCCAAUUCAGGAAAAAAUUUAUACCACCCUCUAUGCUGAAUUAACAUAUAUAUCCGGUUCACAUUUGGAACCCUACCAACACCAGGCACCAAUCAUAUCAAUAAUGCAAAAAAAAAAGAGCACGAUUCUGCUAGCAACUAAAUGCUGAUCUCCUUGCUGUGAAUUUCAAGAAAAGUGUUGAAGCAAAUGAAUCACGGAGGAACCCUAGAAUCAAAGAUAGUACUAAAUUGAAAAAAAUAUCUACUACAUUGAACUGUGCAACACAGUAUAAUAUCUUAUUAUUGUAACUGAAAUGAUUGAAAACGUGUUCUUGAUGAAACAUUUUGAUUCACAAGGAAAUGAAAUGAAAUCGGGAAACAAGAAAAUUUGAAACAGGAUCCCCAACGAACCAAACAAAAUAAACAUAAAACAUAACCAGAACAGCGAAAUCAUAAGAAACGAGAGCAGAAAUCACGAAAUUAGCACAAAACGUAGCGAAAUCAGAAACCAGAACAUACCAGAGCGGCAAAACAAAACGAAAUUUUGUAAAGACAAAGCUACGAUUUGAACGAAGCCUCGGAGCUUGAAGAGAUUUGACAGAAAUCCUGAAAUGACAGAGACUUUCAUUUUAGUCACAGAAAAAACAAUUUUUUUUUUAUUAAAAAAUUUGGUGCAAUAUUAUUAAACUUGUGAUAUUGAGAUUCUAAAUUUUAUUGUUAUAAAGUUCAUAAAAUCUUUCCUUUUUCCAUGGUGAGGUAGUAUUGUUUUCUAAUUGGUCUAAGAAUUUAACGUGAUUAUGUAUAUACUCUGUGCAAAACGAUAUGAAAUUGAACUGAUUAGUUAAUAGUUAUAAGCAACAAAACGAAAUUGGUAGACAAGAUUCAUUUAUAUAUGAUUGUGGAGAAGAGAAAAACACAAAUUAGGACUAAGGCGAACAUGUCUGUACCGCACCAGCCGCGGUAGCAUGCAAAGCACCAGCCCGUAUCAAAUCUGAAGCAAUCGUAGGUUUUACCUGCAUCAGACCUGAAACAGAAUAGAACCUAAAUUUU